CGGGCGAGGCGCCGGUCUAAGUCCCUUGGAACGGGGCGUCAUAGAGGGUGAGAAUCCCGUAUGCGACCGGCGACCGAGUCCACGUGAAACUCCUUCGACGAGUCGAGUUGUUUGGGAAUGCAGCUCAAAAUGGGUGGUAAAUUUCAUCUAAAGCUAAAUACCGGCCAGAGACCGAUAGCGCACAAGUAGAGUGAUCGAAAGAUGAAAAGCACUUUGGAAAGAGAGUCAAAAAGUACGUGAAAUUGUUGAAAGGGAAGCGCUUGCAACCAGACCUGCCCGCGGGUGAUCAACCGUCCUUCUGGGCGGUGCACUCGCCCGUGAUCAGGCCAGCAUCGGUUCGGGCGGCCGGAUAAAGACCUUGGGAACGUAGCUCCUCUCGGGGAGUGUUAUAGCCCUCGGUGCAAUGCGGCCAGCCUGGACCGAGGACCGCGCUUCGGCUAGGAUGCUGGCGUAAUGGUUGUAAGCGGCCCGUCUUGAAACACGGACCAAGGAGUCUAACAUCUAUGCGAGUGUUUGGGUGUCAAACCCAUACGCGUAAUGAAAGUGAACGGAGGUGGGAACCCUUUACGGGGCGCACCAUCGACCGAUCCAGAUGUCUUCGGAUGGAUUUGAGUACGAGCAUAAAUGUUGGGACCCGAAAGAUGGUGAACUAUGCCUGAAUAGGGUGAAGCCAGAGGAAACUCUGGUGGAGGCUCGCAGCGGUUCUGACGUGCAAAUCGAUCGUCAAAUUUGGGCAUAGGGGCGAAAGACUAAUCGAACCAUC
RNAcentral lists this ribosomal RNA (763 nucleotides) under Austroplaca soropelta. Its description in RNAcentral is "LSU rRNA". It matches the Rfam family "Eukaryotic large subunit ribosomal RNA", at positions 165 to 944 of the family's 3401-position model. Lineage: Eukaryota; Fungi; Ascomycota; Lecanoromycetes; Teloschistales; Teloschistaceae. The record is from RNAcentral.